CGCCACGCCUCCUCCUUCUGUUAUUUAAGCUCCGCCUCGUGACGUCAGGAAAGGGGGGAACCAAUGGGAAACAACCUUUAAAAUGAUGCGGGAAAUCCAGGUGUUCCCCGCUGACAGGAAGUAUGAGGAGUAUUAUAGGAAGCUGCGACUCUGGUGCGGAAUGUGAUGUCUGCUGAGUAGCUGCUGCCACAGAAGGAGGAGGACGAUAAUAAAGCGUUGUACCCAGCUUAUGACCGUACUAAGCAUGGACAGCUGUGCUUCCCUCACCUAGGUUACACCUGGGGUCCAACCAACUUCAUUGUGGAUGAUGUGGGAGCUCCAGAUGGACUCCACCUUGGCACUGAGAUGGUGGAUGACUAUAUUCCUUCUAUAAAGUGUGGCCACUACCUCCAUAACGGAGUCUACAGUGUCAUGGUGACUUACAGCUCAGAUGAUGGCAUCAACUGCAGCACUCCAAGGAACAUCUCCCAUGAAAUUGGCACCGAAAUGUUUGCCCUCCAUCCUGGAUCUGGAAUUCAGAAAAGUUUAAUUUAACGAAGGAGGGCCUCAUAGUCUACAGUCUCGGGAUACUGGAAGAUGAUAGGAUGUUCUUAUUUCAAGGAGUGACCAUGGAACAGCUAGCUGGAAAUAGAGAAUAAAUCUGGAGGAGCUUCCAUUCAAACAGUAGUGACUGGGAAAUUCCUGGGAGUGUCAGGUCAGUGGCUUUGACACAUUCGCUGUGUCACUCAUUGCCCACGCUGCUUUCCCUGACCAUGUUCCCCUUUACUCCAUCAGAGCCCUAUGAACUCCCAAAUGGCACCAUGGUCAUUAACUCCUGGAUCCAAUACUUCUAUUACUGCCGCUGCUGCAUUGUAGCCUUCUCUUACCACAGCUAUGACAUGCUUCCUUUGGAAAGAUGGCAGCUGGUGUUUUAAACAAAGGCGACCUCACUUACUUUGUCAACCCAGCUAACCAGGUUUACAGUAAGUAGUCAAUGACUUCACUAUACAUUGGAGCUUCAAUUCUGAGGACCCCUGUGAACAGAAUUACAUUGACAUCUGGCCAGGACCUAGCCGCUACUUCAGCCUCACCAUCCUGAACCAUAAAAUAAAGGAUUAAAAGAACAUAUAUCAUCUAAGAGAAGGCAAAAUAUGACAUCCCAGUGUCCUUUGCUGUAGGGAAAGUCAACCUGUUUGGAAACAGCUGACCCCAUGAAAGAGAAAAAUAGACUCUUAAGACUUUCUCUAUGUACACUUCAAGUCUUCUCCCACAUGAUCUCCCUUCAAGAUAUCAUAUUAAAGUGAUUGUCUACUUUAACUAACCGCUAUCU
This is a long non-coding RNA of Hyla sarda, 1309 nucleotides long. RefSeq lists it as uncharacterized. The transcript is spliced from 4 exons. Lineage: Eukaryota; Metazoa; Chordata; Amphibia; Anura; Hylidae. The record is from RefSeq and is a predicted model, not a curated record.